AGUGGCAAACGGCUGAGUAACGCGUAGGAACCUACCCCAAACUCGAGUAUAGCCCCGCGAAAGCGGGGGUAAUCCUCGAUAGUCCGUGAAGUAUUUUACUUCACGGUAAAGCUUUUGCGGUUUGGGAUGGGCCUGCGUCCUAUCAUGUAGUUGGUGAGGUAAGUGCUCACCAAGCCUAUGACGGGUAGCUGGUCUGAGAGGAUGGUCAGCCAGACUGGGACUGCGACACGGCCCAGACUCCUACGGGAGUGCAGCAACUAGGAAUUGUGCGCAAUGGACGAAAGUCUGACGCCGCGACAUCGCGUGGAGGAUGAAGGUCUUCGGAUUGUAAACUCCUUUUCUUACCGAACAAGUUCUGAGUGUAGGUAAGUGAGUAAGUGCCUGCUAACCACGUGCCAGAAGCAUCGGUAAUACGUGGGGCACGAGCGUUAUCCGGAUUUACUGGGCGUAAAGAGAAGCGUAGUGCGGCUCGAUAAGUUUGGUGUUAAAUCUUCCGGCUCAACCGGAAACAAGCACCGAAAACUAUCGAGAUUGAGUCGAGUAGGGAAGAGGGGAAUUCCUGGUGGACCGGUUAAAUGCGUAGAUAUCAGGGGGAAUACCAAGGGCGAAGGCACCUCUUUGGACUCGUACUGACGCUGAGGCUCGAAAGCGUGGGUAGCAAAACGGAUUAGAUACCCGUGUAGUCCACGCCGUAAACGAUCCCUGUUAGAUGUA
RNAcentral lists this ribosomal RNA (714 nucleotides) under uncultured organism. RNAcentral's name for it is "bacterial SSU rRNA". It matches the Rfam family "Bacterial small subunit ribosomal RNA", at positions 94 to 824 of the family's 1533-position model. The record is from RNAcentral.